GUGCUUGGCUCAGCAGCAGAGCUACUCAAACUGGAAUGAUACAGAGAAGAUUAGCGUGGUCCCUGCACAGGGAUGACGCAAAAAUUUGUGAAGUGUUCUGUAAAAAA
This 107-nucleotide small nuclear RNA is filed under the name Cercocebus atys (sooty mangabey). The record is from RNAcentral. Lineage: Eukaryota; Metazoa; Chordata; Mammalia; Primates; Cercopithecidae.